AAACUAACAAGGAUUCCCCUAGUAGCGGCGAGUGAAGCGGGAAGAGCUCAAAUUUGUAAUCUGGCGUCCUUCGGGCGUCCGAGUUGUAAUCUAUAGAAGUGUUUUCCGUGCCGGACCAUGUCCAAGUCCCUUGGAACAGGGUAUCAAAGAGGGUGACAAUCCCGUACUUGACAUGACCACCGGUGCUCUGUGAUACACUUUCUACGAGUCGAGUUGUUUGGGAAUGCAGCUCAAAAUGGGUGGUAAAUUCCAUCUAAAGCUAAAUAUUGGCGAGAGACCGAUAGCGAACAAGUACCGUGAGGGAAAGAUGAAAAGCACUUUGGAAAGAGAGUUAAACAGUACGUGAAAUUGUUGAAAGGGAAACGAUUGAAGUCAGUCGUGUUCUUUGGACUCAGCCGGUUCUUCCGGUCUAUUUCCUUUGAACGGGUCAACAUCAGUUUUGUCCGGUGGAUAAAGGCAGGAAGAAAGUGGCUCCCUCGGGAGUGUUAUAGCUUUCUGUCACAUACACUGGAGGAGACUGAGGACUGCAGCUCGCCUUUUGGCCGGGGUUCGCCCACGUUCGAGCUUAGGAUGUUGACAUAAUGGCUUUAAACGAC
Molecule: ribosomal RNA, 596 nt
Filed under: Vanrija musci
Lineage: Eukaryota; Fungi; Basidiomycota; Tremellomycetes; Trichosporonales; Trichosporonaceae
Description: eukaryotic LSU rRNA
Rfam family: Eukaryotic large subunit ribosomal RNA
Source: RNAcentral